UACGUAGGGUCCGAGCGUUGUCCGGAUUUAUUGGGCGUAAAGAGCUCGUAGGCGGUUCCGUAAGUCGAGUGUGAAAAAUCUGGGCUCAACCCAGUGGAGCACUCGAUACUGCGGUGACUAGAGUACGGUAGAGGAGUGUGGAAUUCCUGGUGUAGCGGUGAAAUGCGCAGAUAUCAGGAGGAACACCAACGGCGAAGGCAGCACUCUGGGCCGGUACUGACACUGAGGAGCGAAAGCGUGGGGAGCAAACAGG
Molecule: ribosomal RNA, 253 nt
Filed under: uncultured bacterium
Lineage: Bacteria
Description: partial 16S ribosomal RNA
Rfam family: Bacterial small subunit ribosomal RNA
Source: RNAcentral